Long non-coding RNA from Vigna radiata var. radiata (mung bean), 563 nucleotides. RefSeq lists it as uncharacterized. The transcript has 3 exons. The record is from RefSeq and is a predicted model, not a curated record. Lineage: Eukaryota; Viridiplantae; Streptophyta; Magnoliopsida; Fabales; Fabaceae.
CUUUCUCUAGUAUUUUCUAAUCUAAUCUCACACUUUGGUUUCCUUUCCUUUGCAUCAUGCUUUCUAAUUCCAAUUCCAAUUUUCAGCUCUCUGUUUCUGUCUCUCUUCACUCUCAAUCUUCCUCCUCAAAGCUCUCUAUAUUUAGAUUGAGGAACAGGUUGAAGGGCAUGUUUUUGUGAAAGUCAUUUCCUGUUUGUUUCCUUAUUCUGGUGAAGAAGUUGGAGGAGAUUGAUAUUAACAUCACACAGCUUUUGAAGGAUGGUGAAACAGAAUCUACAGUCCAAGCACUGUUAAUUGAAGCCCCCCAAACAAAUAAAUAACUGCAACACAAAAUUACUGCUAGAAGGUUCACUGUUUGCAAAUUCAGAUCGUACUGAUGCAGAAUGAAUAUAUGGUUGUAACAUGCAAUGGUGUCAGUUGUGUGUGUUGUUCAUUGCAGCUGUUAAUUUUACGUGUGAAAAUUAAGAAUGAAGCUAACGUUGGUAUGUAUGACAAUGAUUGGUGUUUCAGAUACGUGACACCGUUAAAAUCGUAGCAUAAAUAGAAUAAGAGCGAAUUUUUCA